Long non-coding RNA from Medicago truncatula (barrel medic), 909 nucleotides. RefSeq lists it as uncharacterized. The record is from RefSeq and is a predicted model, not a curated record. Lineage: Eukaryota; Viridiplantae; Streptophyta; Magnoliopsida; Fabales; Fabaceae. The transcript is spliced from 5 exons.
GUUAUAAUGUCUAUUUGGGACCCUUUUUCAUGAAUUGGAGAAAUGCAAAGACAUGUUAAUUUCCCUGUUGAAGAUGUUGUUUGGAUUCAUCAACUUUUGGGAUAUACUCCGUUCCGAAAGGUAGUACUAACAAACUACUCUCUACUUCCAACUUCAUCGGAAUCGCUCUCUUCGCCCUCAUUUGCACGGAGAUGCAAUUCAAGGGCAAAUGGAUUGCGUGUCUUUCUUUCGGCGUACAGACUUUCCGUACCAAAUCAUCCCAACAAAUAGAUAAACUGGUUUGGAAUUCUAGCAAACAAAUGAGCAGGCGAUGAUGGAAAGGGAAAUAGCACAAAAGAGGAGAAUUUUAUAUAUCUUCUAGAUUGGGUUUCUGGAAAUAGCAGGGUCUUUAGAUUCUGUGCUAACAACAUCCAGUCUUAUCCCCGUUCAAAAUUUAGAUCCUGGCGAAGCAAAUUAUCAGGACUUAACGCUAAAAUCAAGUGUAACUCUGUUGGAGAUUUUGAGAUUGUGCUGGAGAGAAGAAAAUGGUUGUGUAGUAACUUGCUGACAUGACAGGUCUUUGUUUUCAACAACAGCUUGGAGAGCUAGGAAGUAAUUAAAACUAAUUUUCAAGCAAGAGGAAGAAGCGAAUAUUAGAAAGAAGAAAAAUAUGAUAUGAAGUGAAGAAAUGAUGGGUAGGGUUUUGAGGGUUUUAAUUUUGUUUUUGUUUUUCUUUGUUUGAAGAAAGAGUUUACGAACAUGGUAAUGAGUAUUCAUUUCAUCAUUGUCAAUUUAGAUAUACUUUUAUUUUCCUACUUGAUUGCUACUCAUCUUGUUCUUCAUGAACUCCUAUACUCUAGCCUGUAUGGUACUUGAAUGUAUAAUACUUUGGACUUACCCUUAACUCUAAUCCAAAACUAUCUUAACUUG